RNAcentral lists this ribosomal RNA (496 nucleotides) under uncultured bacterium. RNAcentral describes it as "partial 16S ribosomal RNA". It matches the Rfam family "Bacterial small subunit ribosomal RNA", at positions 28 to 506 of the family's 1533-position model. The record is from RNAcentral.
GAUGAACGCUGGCGGCGUGCCUAAUACAUGCAAGUCGAGCGAACGGAGGAGGAGCUUGCUUUUCUGAUGUUAGCGGCGGACGGGUGUGUAACACGUGGAUAACCUACCUAUAAGACUGGGAUAACCUCGGGAAACCGGAGCUAAUACCGGAAAAUAGUUUGAACCGCAUGGUGCAUAAGUGAAAGACGGUCUUACUGUCACUUAUAGAUGGACCCGCGCUGCAUUAGCUAGUUGGUAAGGUAACGGCUUACCAAGGCAACGAUGCAUAGCCGACCUGAGAGAGGGCCCGGCAACCCUGGAACUGAGCCCCGUCCCAGCCCCCUCCGGGAGGAAGCAGUAGGAAUACUUCAGCAUUGGCCGAAACCCUGUCGAGGCAACGCCGCGUGAGUGAUGAAGGUCUUCGGUUCGUAAAACCCUGUUAUUAGGGAAGAACAUAUGUGUAUGUAACUGUGCCCAUCUUGCCGGUACCUAAGCAGAAGGCCCCGGCUAACUCCGG